RNAcentral lists this ribosomal RNA (687 nucleotides) under Triticum aestivum (bread wheat). Its description in RNAcentral is "partial small subunit ribosomal RNA". The record is from RNAcentral. Lineage: Eukaryota; Viridiplantae; Streptophyta; Magnoliopsida; Poales; Poaceae.
AUGAGAUGUAGAGCUUUUGUGUGGAGAGGCGAGGAGGAAAUCAAUGGAGGCCAUUGCCUGGUUCCCUGGGCCCGGGUUUGCAGACCCAAGGAAUGGGGAGGCCUCGGUCUUUUGAACCUGAAAGACUUUGGGAUUGCGCUCCGGUGUCGAUGGCAGUGGCUAAGAUGGGACGCGGAAGAACGCCCGUGGCAAUUAUUUCUGGAUCAGCAAGAUAAGGAUGCCUCUGCUAUCCUUGCGGCUGCAGGUCGAGUGAUUCUGGGGAGAGGUGACACUGCCAGGUUUUGGACUGACAACUGGACUCCGGAAGGGCGUAGCAUUGCCUCGCAGGCACCAGCCUUGUUUUCAUUUGUGAAAGAUUCCAAACUGUCAGUCCGUGAUGCGCUGCACAAUCGAAGAUGGCUUAAGGACAUCCAAGGCGGCUUGACAGUCCAAGCCUUGGUGCAGUACCUAUGGGUCUGGGACAUGGCAGGAGCUACUGUACUUAAUUCGGAGGCCCAGGAUCGACUUGAGUGGAGGAUGACAAAACACCACCAAUUCACAGUCAGCAGUGCUUAUAAGAUGUUCUUCAUGGCUGGAAUCAGGUUUGCUUGUUACAAACCCCUGUGGAAGUCCAAAGCACCCCCACAUUGCAAGUUCUUCAUGUGGCUUGUCAUUCAAAAGAAGUGCCUUACGGCAGAUAAUCUUUAA